CGAACGCUGGCUGCGUGCCUAACACAUGCAAGUGGAGCGACGAACCAGGCUUCGGCCUGGGGCAGAUCCGCCAACGGGUGAGUAACACGUGGGUAACCUGCCCUGAUGAUCGGGACAACCCGAGGAAACUCGGGCUAAUACCGAAUGUGCCCUCCGGUCACAAGGCCGCUGGGGAAAGGAAGCUUCGGCCUCCGCAUCGGGAUGGGCCCGCGGCCCAUUAGCUUGUUGGUGGGGUAACGGCCCACCAAGGCGACCAUGGGUAGCUGGUCUGAUAGGACGAUCAGCCACACUGGGACUGAGACACGGCCCAGACUCCUACGGGAGGCAGCAGUGGG
Molecule: ribosomal RNA, 335 nt
Filed under: uncultured Solirubrobacterales bacterium
Lineage: Bacteria; Bacillati; Actinomycetota; Thermoleophilia; Solirubrobacterales
Description: bacterial SSU rRNA
Rfam family: Bacterial small subunit ribosomal RNA
Source: RNAcentral